GUCUACGGCUAUGCCACCCUGUACAUGCCGGAUCUUAUUUGAUCUCAGAAGCUAAGCAGGGUCGGGUCUGGUUAGUACUUGGAUGGAAGACCACCUAGGAAUACCAGAUGCUGUAGGCU
RNAcentral lists this ribosomal RNA (119 nucleotides) under Pteropus alecto (black flying fox). Lineage: Eukaryota; Metazoa; Chordata; Mammalia; Chiroptera; Pteropodidae. The record is from RNAcentral. RNAcentral also lists the same sequence under 1 other name.